RNAcentral lists this ribosomal RNA (497 nucleotides) under uncultured bacterium. RNAcentral describes it as "partial 16S ribosomal RNA". It matches the Rfam family "Bacterial small subunit ribosomal RNA", at positions 28 to 507 of the family's 1533-position model. The record is from RNAcentral.
GAUGAACGCUGGCGGCGUGCCUAAUACAUGCAAGUCGAGCGAACAGACGAGGAGCUUGCUCCUCUGACGUUAGCGGCGGACGGGUGAGUAACACGUGGAUAACCUACCUAUAAGACUGGGAUAACUUCGGGAAACCGGAGCUAAUACCGGAUAAUAUCUUGAACCGCAUGGUUCAAUAGUGAAAGACGGUUUUGCUGUCACUUAUAGAUGGAUCCGCGCCGCAUUAGCUAGUUGGGAAGGUAACGGCUUACCAAGGCAACGAUGCGUAGCCGACCUGAGAGGGGGAUCGGCCACACUGGAACUGGGACACGGUCCAGACUCCUACGGGAGGCAGCAGUAGGGAAUCUUCCGCAAUGGGCGAAAGCCUGACGGAGCAACGCCGCGUGAGUGAUGAAGGUCUUCGGAUCGUAAAACUCUGUUAUUAGGGAAGAACAAAUGUGUAAGUAACUAUGCACGUCUUGACGGUACCUAAUCAGAAAGCCACGGCUAACUACGUG